Molecule: long non-coding RNA, 674 nt
Filed under: Nicotiana benthamiana
Lineage: Eukaryota; Viridiplantae; Streptophyta; Magnoliopsida; Solanales; Solanaceae
Description: long non-coding RNA (NBEN_LNC018813)
Source: RNAcentral
AUCCAUAAAACAAAUCAGCCAUUCUCUUGUUUGUUUAUCUUAUUGAUUUCCAGUUACUUAUCAAGUUAUUGGUUUGUUAACACAUAAUGGAGAAGCUGUAAAAGUUACAAGCAAAACUUAGUCUGCCUGAAAAGAAAAAACAGAAAACUUUUUAAAUGUAAUCCUGAGUUUUGGUUUGCUAUAGUUGAAUUACUGUCCAUCGUCUUCACUGUUGUGAUCAAAACUCGCUGCCCAUACCUCUUUCUCUAUGUCCUUCCCUCUGAUCGAUUUCUUUUUUCUUAAAUGCUGAUUAAUUUCUCCGUUAAGUUCCUCUUUUAGUGCACCAGAAGAUCGCCUGUUCAUUUACUACUGCAUACACACUAUUCAAUGAAUCAUUAGAGGCACUCCAAGAAAUGAAACAGAGAAUAUGUAAAUGGGAAGCAGAACAAGAAAAGAAGUAAAAAGGAUCGUGAAGUUCUUGAGGGAAGCUUACUUUAUUACACUUGAAGCACAUCAAUCCCUAUGUUGCAUCCUGUUGAUAAAUUAUAAUUUUUAAUGUAAUGACUAAAGCUCCUAGUCGAGAUGUCAUCACUUGGAUGAUGAUAGGGAACUACAGCAACAGGAAAAAAAACUGAAGCGACACCUCGCCUCCAACCAUGACAUUGGGGCUUCAAGUCGCCUCCCACACACAUAUU